UUGUUCUCUAUAGUGAAGAGUCUGUUUCUUGGUUUCCCACGGUCUCUCUUUUUUCCCCUGGGCUGCAAGAAGCCCAGGACAUCAGCAGGCAUUAGGUCUUACAUGGGGGCUAAUUGUUGCCCAGUUCAGUGGACGUCUCAGAGCGAUUUUGGGGCGGUUGGCUCUCUCCACCCUUGAGGCUAGAUUGUUGAGCAGGGACCCUAACUCUACCGGUCUCGAGGGCCCCAGCUCCAAAUGGAGUGUGUGUACUUGGUAUGCAAGCGCCGGUCAGAUCAGGGUAGCCAGGGAUUUGUACAGAGCAAGGGUCCUGUGAAGCCAGGUCACAAGAGCAGACCACUGGAAGUACCUGGCAUCUGCCUAAUUCCAGGCCUUAACCUAUUCAAAGGCUGGUACUUUCCCUAAAGGCAGGUCUAGAGAAAGCUGGAAUGCUUUAUCAGGGCAGGCUGGCUGGGAUGGCCGGGGGCUCUCUCAUAAGACACACCUGGGAGCCUUGAUUACUGGGGAAUCCCAGGAUCCCAUUAGGCAGCCGGACCAAGAAGGGGCUGACAGUUUAAGAUAGAGCCUCAAGUAUUUUUAGCGGGUGGGUGAGCUCUCUCUAUCCUGUAGGUAACAGGUAUUUGGGGACCAGCUUAAGUUCCACAGCCAUGAGGGCCCCAAUAGCUAAGGGUGGCUAAUAGGCUGCUGAUACGGGCUUCACAGGGCAGGGUAACAAGGGACCUGGAACAGGGUGAGUUGGGCAAGGCCAGGUCGCAGGAAGGUGCUCUUGGAGGGGCCUGGUGUAUAUCAGUUUGCACUUCCCUUCCCACUGAAGGCAGGGUUGGAGGAAUCUUGCUUGGGCAAGCUUGGGUCAGAUGGCCGGAGUUCCCUCCAGCACAGACACCUGGGAACAUUCAUUAAUGGAGAAGCCUGAGGCCCUAAUCAGUAGUUAGACCAAAUAGGGACUAUCAUCAGUUUAAGCUGAAAGCCUCAGAAAGAUUUUCAGGUAGUAGGCUCUCUCUACGCUGGAGGCUAGGAGGGGUUUGGGUACCUGUUUGAGCUCCACAAGGCCCUGACAGACAAGGACUGGGACUGGCUGACAGCAUUUGGACUGCGCACGCACAUGCAGGCUGCAAAGGCAGAUCUGGAAGACUCCGUAUUGCCUUACUAUGGCUGGGUCCAGAAGCUGGCUGAGGUGUAUGCUAAUAAGAAACAUGUGGGAGUCCUGAUUGCUGCAGAAGCCUGGGACCUCAGCAGACAAGAGUGAGCGAGCACAACUAGCGGAAGAGCAGGGAGAGAGAAAAGGAGAGACACAGAA
Molecule: long non-coding RNA, 1294 nt
Organism: Felis catus (domestic cat)
Lineage: Eukaryota; Metazoa; Chordata; Mammalia; Carnivora; Felidae
Exons: 3
Source: RefSeq, a predicted model, not a curated record